This 72-nucleotide transfer RNA is filed under the name Phrynosoma platyrhinos (Desert horned lizard). RNAcentral's name for it is "tRNA-OTHER". Lineage: Eukaryota; Metazoa; Chordata; Lepidosauria; Squamata; Phrynosomatidae. The record is from RNAcentral.
GUCAAUGUGGUGUGGUGGUUUGAGUGUUGGACUGGGAUUCUGGAGACCAGGGUUCGAAUCCCUGCUCAGCCA